UUAAGCGACUAAGCGUACACGGUGGAUGCCCUGGCAGUCAGAGGCGAUGAAGGACGUGCUAAUCUGCGAUAAGCGUCGGUAAGGUGAUAUGAACCGUUAUAACCGGCGAUUUCCGAAUGGGGAAACCCAGUGUGAUUCGUCACACUAUCAUUAACUGAAUCCAUAGGUUAAUGAGGCGAACCGGGGGAACUGAAACAUCUAAGUACCCCGAGGAAAAGAAAUCAACCGAGAUUCCCCCAGUAGCGGCGAGCGAACGGGGAGGAGCCCAGAGCCUGAAUCAGUGUGUGUGUUAGUGGAAGCGUCUGGAAAGGCGCGCGAUACAGGGUGACAGCCCCGUACACAAAAAUGCACAUACUGUGAGCUCGAUGAGUAGGGCGGGACACGUGGUAUCCUGUCUGAAUAUGGGGGGACCAUCCUCCAAGGCUAAAUACUCCUGACUGACCGAUAGUGAACCAGUACCGUGAGGGAAAGGCGAAAAGAACCCCGGCGAGGGGAGUGAAAAAGAACCUGAAACCGUGUACGUACAAGCAGUGGGAGCACAGAGCAAUCUGUGUGACUGCGUACCUUUUGUAUAAUGGGUCAGCGACUUAUAUUCUGUAGCAAGGUUAACCGAAUAGGGGAGCCGAAGGGAAACCGAGUCUUAACCGGGCGUUAAGUUGCAGGGUAUAGACCCGAAACCCGGUGAUCUAGCCAUGGGCAGGUUGAAGGUUGGGUAACACUAACUGGAGGACCGAACCGACUAAUGUUGAAAAAUUAGCGGAUGACUUGUGGCUGGGGGUGAAAGGCCAAUCAAACCGGGAGAUAGCUGGUUCUCCCCGAAAGCUAUUUAGGUAGCGCCUCGUGAAUUCAUCUCCGGGGGUAGAGCACUGUUUCGGCAAGGGGGUCAUCCCGACUUACCAACCCGAUGCAAACUGCGAAUACCGGAGAAUGUUAUCACGGGAGACACACGGCGGUGCUAACGUCCGUCGUGAAGAGGGAAACAACCCAGACCGCCAGCUAAGGUCCCAAAGUCAUGGUUAAGUGGGAAACGAUGUGGGAAGGCCCAGACAGCCAGGAUGUUGGCUUAGAAGCAGCCAUCAUUUAAAGAAAGCGUAAUAGCUCACUGGUCGAGUCGGCCUGCGCGGAAGAUGUAACGGGGCUAAACCAUGCACCGAAGCUGCGGCAGCGACACUGUGUGUUGUUGGGUAGGGGAGCGUUCUGUAAGCCUGUGAAGGUGUGCUGUGAGGCAUGCUGGAGGUAUCAGAAGUGCGAAUGCUGACAUAAGUAACGAUAAAGCGGGUGAAAAGCCCGCUCGCCGGAAGACCAAGGGUUCCUGUCCAACGUUAAUCGGGGCAGGGUGAGUCGACCCCUAAGGCGAGGCCGAAAGGCGUAGUCGAUGGGAAACAGGUUAAUAUUCCUGUACUUGGUGUUACUGCGAAGGGGGGACGGAGAAGGCUAUGUUGGCCGGGCGACGGUUGUCCCGGUUUAAGCGUGUAGGCUGGUUUUCCAGGCAAAUCCGGAAAAUCAAGGCUGAGGCGUGAUGACGAGGCACUACGGUGCUGAAGCAACAAAUGCCCUGCUUCCAGGAAAAGCCUCUAAGCAUCAGGUAACAUCAAAUCGUACCCCAAACCGACACAGGUGGUCAGGUAGAGAAUACCAAGGCGCUUGAGAGAACUCGGGUGAAGGAACUAGGCAAAAUGGUGCCGUAACUUCGGGAGAAGGCACGCUGAUAUGUAGGUGAAGUCCCUCGCGGAUGGAGCUGAAAUCAGUCGAAGAUACCAGCUGGCUGCAACUGUUUAUUAAAAACACAGCACUGUGCAAACACGAAAGUGGACGUAUACGGUGUGACGCCUGCCCGGUGCCGGAAGGUUAAUUGAUGGGGUCAGCGCAAGCGAAGCUCUUGAUCGAAGCCCCGGUAAACGGCGGCCGUAACUAUAACGGUCCUAAGGUAGCGAAAUUCCUUGUCGGGUAAGUUCCGACCUGCACGAAUGGCGUAAUGAUGGCCAGGCUGUCUCCACCCGAGACUCAGUGAAAUUGAACUCGCUGUGAAGAUGCAGUGUACCCGCGGCAAGACGGAAAGACCCCGUGAACCUUUACUAUAGCUUGACACUGAACAUUGAGCCUUGAUGUGUAGGAUAGGUGGGAGGCUUUGAAGUGUGGACGCCAGUCUGCAUGGAGCCGACCUUGAAAUACCACCCUUUAAUGUUUGAUGUUCUAACGUGGACCCGUGAUCCGGGUUGCGGACAGUGUCUGGUGGGUAGUUUGACUGGGGCGGUCUCCUCCUAAAGAGUAACGGAGGAGCACGAAGGUUGGCUAAUCCUGGUCGGACAUCAGGAGGUUAGUGCAAUGGCAUAAGCCAGCUUGACUGCGAGCGUGACGGCGCGAGCAGGUGCGAAAGCAUGUCAUAGUGAUCCGGUGGUUCUGAAUGGAAGGGCCAUCGCUCAACGGAUAAAAGGUACUCCGGGGAUAACAGGCUGAUACCGCCCAAGAGUUCAUAUCGACGGCGGUGUUUGGCACCUCGAUGUCGGCUCAUCACAUCCUGGGGCUGAAGUAGGUCCCAAGGGUAUGGCUGUUCGCCAUUUAAAGUGGUACGCGAGCUGGGUUUAGAACGUCGUGAGACAGUUCGGUCCCUAUCUGCCGUGGGCGCUGGAGAACUGAGGGGGGCUGCUCCUAGUACGAGAGGACCGGAGUGGACGCAUCACUGGUGUUCGGGUUGUCAUGCCAAUGGCACUGCCCGGUAGCUAAAUGCGGAAGAGAUAAGUGCUGAAAGCAUCUAAGCACGAAACUUGCCCCGAGAUGAGUUCUCCCUGACCCUUUAAGGGUCCUGAAGGAACGUUGAAGACGACGACGUUGAUAGGCCGGGUGUGUAAGCGCAGCGAUGCGUUGAGCUAACCGGUCUAAUGAACCGUGAGGCUUAACCUU
RNAcentral lists this ribosomal RNA (2901 nucleotides) under Escherichia coli DEC3E. Its description in RNAcentral is "bacterial LSU rRNA". It matches the Rfam family "Bacterial large subunit ribosomal RNA". The record is from RNAcentral. Lineage: Bacteria; Pseudomonadati; Pseudomonadota; Gammaproteobacteria; Enterobacterales; Enterobacteriaceae.